GACGAACGCUGGCGGCGUGCUUAACACAUGCAAGUCGAACGGAAAGGCCCUGCUUUUGUGGGGUGCUCGAGUGGCGAACGGGUGAGUAACACGUGAGUAACCUGCCCUUGACUUUGGGAUAACUUCAGGAAACUGGGGCUAAUACCGGAUAGGAGCUCCUGCUGCAUGGUGGGGGUUGGAAAGUUUCGGCGGUUGGGGAUGGACUCGCGGCUUAUCAGCUUGUUGGUGGGGUAGUGGCUUACCAAGGCUUUGACGGGUAGCCGGCCUGAGAGGGUGACCGGCCACAUUGGGACUGAGAUACGGCCCAGACUCCUACGGGAGGCAGCAGUGGGGAAUAUUGCACAAUGGGCGGAAGCCUGAUGCAGCAACGCCGCGUGCGGGAUGACGGCCUUCGGGUUGUAAACCGCUUUCGCCUGUGACGAAGCGUGAGUGACGGUAAUGGGUAAAGAAGCACCGGCUAACUACGUGCCAGCAGCCGCGGUGAUAUGUAGGGUGCGAGCGUUGUCCGGAUUUAUUGGGCGUAAAGGGCUCGUAGGUGGUUGAUCGCGUCGGAAGUGUAAUCUUGGGGCUUAACCCUGAGCGUGCUUUCGAUACGGGUUGACUUGAGGAAGGUAGGGGAGAAUGGAAUUCCUGGUGGAGCGGUGGAAUGCGCAGAUAUCAGGAGGAACACCAGUGGCGAAGGCGGUUCUCUGGGCCUUUCCUGACGCUGAGGAGCGAAAGCGUGGGGAGCGAACAGGCUUAGAUACCCUGGUAGUCCACGCUGUAAACGGUGGGUACUAGGUGUGGGGUCCAUUCCACGGGUUCCGUGCCGUAGCUAACGCUUUAAGUACCCCGCCUGGGGAGUACGGCCGCAAGGCUAAAACUCAAAGGAAUUGACGGGGCCCCGCACAAGCGGCGGAGCAUGCGGAUUAAUUCGAUGCAACGCGUAGAACCUUACCUGGGUUUGACAUGGAUCGGGAGUGCUCAGAGAUGGGUGUGCCUCUUUUGGGGUCGGUUCACAGGUGGUGCAUGGCUGUCGUCAGCUCGUGUCGUGAGAUGUUGGGUUAAGUCCCGCAACGAGCGCAACCCUUGUUCACUGUUGCCAGCACGUUAUGGUGGGGACUCAGUGGAGACCGCCGGGGUCAACUCGGAGGAAGGUGGGGAUGACGUCAAGUCAUCAUGCCCCCUAUGUCCAGGGCUUCACGCAUGCUACAAUGGCUGGUACAGAGAGUGGCGAGCCUGUGAGGGUGAGCGAAUCCCGGAAAGCCGGUCUCAGUUCGGAUUGGGGUCUGCAACUCGACCUCAUGAAGUCGGAGUCGCUAGUAAUCGCAGAUCAGCAACGCUGCGGUGAAUACGUUCCCGGG
RNAcentral lists this ribosomal RNA (1343 nucleotides) under uncultured bacterium. RNAcentral describes it as "16S ribosomal RNA". It matches the Rfam family "Bacterial small subunit ribosomal RNA", at positions 28 to 1378 of the family's 1533-position model. The record is from RNAcentral.